CGGAAGGUCCAGGCGUUAUCCGGAUUUAUUGGGUUUAAAGGGAGCGUAGGCUGGAGAUUAAGUGUGUUGUGAAAUGUAGACGCUCAACGUCUGACUUGCAGCGCAUACUGGUUUCCUUGAGUACGCACAACGUUGGCGGAAUUCGUCGUGUAGCGGUGAAAUGCUUAGAUAUGACGAAGAACUCCGAUUGCGAAGGCAGCUGACGGGAGCGCAACUGACGCUUAAGCUCGAAGGUGCGGGUAUCGAACAGGAUU
RNAcentral lists this ribosomal RNA (254 nucleotides) under uncultured bacterium. RNAcentral describes it as "partial 16S ribosomal RNA". It matches the Rfam family "Bacterial small subunit ribosomal RNA", at positions 526 to 779 of the family's 1533-position model. The record is from RNAcentral.